GACGAACGCUGGCGGCGUGCCUAAUACAUGCAAGUAGAACGCUGAAGAGAGGAGCUUGCUCUUCUUGGAUGAGUUGCGAACGGGUGAGUAACGCGUAGGUAACCUGCCUUGUAGCGGGGGAUAACUAUUGGAAACGAUAGCUAAUACCGCAUAACAAUGGAUGACCCAUUUCAUUUAUUUGAAAGGGGCAAAUGCUCCACUACAAGAUGGACCUGCGUUGUAUUAGCUAGUAGGUGAGGUAACGGCUCACCUAGGCGACGAUACAUAGCCGACCUGAGAGGGUGAUCGGCCACCCUGGGACUGAGACAAGGCCCAGGCUCCUACGGGAGGGAGCAGUAGGGAAUCUUCGGCAAUCGGGGCAACCCUGAGCGAGCAACGCCGCGUGAGUGCAGAAGGUUUUCGGAUCGUAAAGCUCUGUUGUAAGUCAAGAACGAGUGUGAGAGUGGAAAGUUCACACUGUGACGGUAGCUUACCAGAAAGGGACGGCUAACUACGUG
This 497-nucleotide ribosomal RNA is filed under the name uncultured bacterium. RNAcentral's name for it is "partial 16S ribosomal RNA". It matches the Rfam family "Bacterial small subunit ribosomal RNA", at positions 28 to 507 of the family's 1533-position model. The record is from RNAcentral.